UACGGGGGGGGCAAGCGUUGUUCGGAAUUACUGGGCGUAAAGGGUUCGUAGGUGGCCCGCUAAGUCACACGUGAAAUCCCUCAGCUUAACUGGGGAACUGCGUGUGAGACUGGCAGGCUUGAGUGCAGGAGAGGAACGCGGAAUUCCAGGUGUAGCGGUGAAAUGCGUAGAUAUCUGGAGGAACACCGGUGGCGAAGGCGGCGUUCUGGACUGUAUCUGACACUGAUGAACGAAAGCCAGGGGAGCAAACGGG
This 253-nucleotide ribosomal RNA is filed under the name uncultured bacterium. RNAcentral's name for it is "partial 16S ribosomal RNA". It matches the Rfam family "Bacterial small subunit ribosomal RNA", at positions 524 to 776 of the family's 1533-position model. The record is from RNAcentral.